Non-coding RNA from Phascolarctos cinereus (koala), 1353 nucleotides. The record is from RefSeq and is a predicted model, not a curated record. Lineage: Eukaryota; Metazoa; Chordata; Mammalia; Diprotodontia; Phascolarctidae.
AACAUAACAUGGCAAUUUCCAGGAAUUCGAGUUGUUCAAAAGCUGAAUGAGCUGUCUCUGAAUGUAGGUAGAGUUCUCCAUCUCUAGACAUCUUAAGUGGAGGCAGGGCUACAACUUGUAAAUGGGAAUCUUGUUUCUGUAAUUUGACUGGAAGACCUCCAGAUCUCUUACAACUCUGAAGUUUUCUGAUUCUGUAGCAGUUUUUUAAAUUACACCUCUAGAUCCUACCCUCCCCUUUACAAAGUAACUUCUAAAAUUAAAAUAAUUUGGAGGGAUUUUCUAGCAUUGGUAUAGAAACUAAUAAGAUUUCCAUUUGUUCUAGUCCCCUCAGGCCAAGAAAGGAAAAAAAAAAAGAAAGAAAAGAAGGAAGAGGAAGGAAGGAAGAGUUCCCAUACCACAUGAUGCAGUCCUAAACUGAGUUUAACACUAUCAACAAACAUUUAUUAAGUGCCCAAAUGAACAGAAAUCUAUAAAAAUUGAGAAAUUGAUUAAGGAGGAAAGAGUUUGAUAAGCAUUCUUUGAGCACAUGACAAGGAACUCAGAAGCUUUUGGAACAUGCAGAUAACACUCUGCCAAGCACUAACAAACCUGAUAACAGGUAUGAACAAGUUUUUUUCAUCCAUAACAGAAAAUCAUUUACCUCCAGUUGAAACGGCCAUAUAAGAUGGCUCAAUCCAUGAAUAGAAUCAGAAGAACCUUGAUAGCCACAUCAUUUUAGUCAACAAUAUUUUGACAAAGAAUCAUUAAAUGAAUGGCUGAAUCACAGACUAUCUGUGGAAAUAGAGGGAUCCGUGGUGACAAUUCAAGGCCAAUCUAUUGCCACCAAAAAUUACGGAAGGGAAAUCCUUCAUGAGCCCAGAUCUUGUGAUCAACAUAGAUUAUACAAGGAGCUGGUAAAAGUUGUCUACCACAUUACUUCAUGCUGAAAAAUGUGUCAUAUGCCAAAUACCUAGGCAUGACCUGAUGACUAGUAUUAUUUGUCAGAAGCUUGAUAUCUUUGCAUGGACCAACAAAUGGCCAAUUCCAAUUCUACAACCAUACGUCUCAAAAGCUCCAAAAGAACUAAACCAAUAAAUUCUCUUGGAACCAGACCGUUAUUGCCUACUGAACUGAGAAGCACAAAUUCCUGAAUGUAACAUUAAUGAGCUAUAAGGUCACAAGAACAAUGUUUGUAAUAGAUAUCACCACCUCUAAUACUCAUAACAUGUACACUACAUCGAAUGAAAAGUUUUUUAAAGUAUGAAACAUUACAGAGUAGAUAAAAAUUGUAUGGAGACAGAAUGAGGUACAGAUAGUCCCUGUUACCCUGAUAUAGGAAUUGUACCAAAAAUUCUUUCUUUGAGCCUAAUAUAA